This is a long non-coding RNA of Humulus lupulus (European hop), 955 nucleotides long. RefSeq lists it as uncharacterized. Lineage: Eukaryota; Viridiplantae; Streptophyta; Magnoliopsida; Rosales; Cannabaceae. The record is from RefSeq and is a predicted model, not a curated record. The transcript is spliced from 2 exons.
AUUUUUUAAGUAUAUUUAAUAACACGGAUUAUUUUUGUUAUAAUUUUUAAAAAUAAUUAUGAUAUUUAACUUACACAGAAAACCAAAUUAGUAUGUUCAUUUUGUAUCGGAAUAAUAUCUGUAGGUUAUUUUACCCUUUUAUCCCUACACAACUCACACACACAUUAGUGUACAAGGUCAUUCUUGAUCUUUCUAUAUAUUUCUGAUAUAUGUGGACAAAAUUAGUGACACGUUUUCUUUGUUGAUUCUUUUAAAGUCUUUGAUUUUAACUUUACCAAUUUUAUGCUUUACUUUGUGUUUGAACAGGCUUCGAGAGAACACCACAAGUAUAUACAAAAUUGGGUAAACACAUCAAUACAGAACCAAAUCUCAAAGAUAACCAAACCAGAAAAGAGAUGAGAGGGAAAGAAAUACAAACACGAGAGAUUACAAGGUUCACCACCAAAAUUUGGGGUUACAUCCUUGGUGAGCUACCUCAGAGAAAGCUCAAGUCAAAUCCAUUAUCAAGAUCGCAGUUUACAACAGAUUUCUGGAGAUUCCAGCCACGAGUCAGCUAGUAAUCUUGAUGCUUCAACCAGGUAUGAAUCAAAACUCUCAAACACUUUUUCUUUCUCUUUUCUUCUCUCCGGAUUGAACCGAUCCCUCACUUUUUCCUCUCUCUAACACUUCUCUUCCUUUCUCUCAACUUGAGAGCUUCUCUCACUAGAUUUCACUCAGGAUCACUUCUCUUUCUUCUGCAGAAUUUCGUUAUAAAGUUGUCAGCUUAUAUGGGGAAUUAAUUUCAACAAUAUCAAAUUCUUGUUUUUCGUCCCCAAAAAAUAUUGAAUGUUAGUUUUUUUUUUUUUUUAUGUUUGAUAUUGAAUGCUAGUUUAAUUUAACAGAUAGGACUAUGUUCAACAUAGUAUAUGAGACUGGAAAAACAAACUUUGUAAAUAAUAUAAUUUCAUUUCAAUUA